AUUAGACUACAACUUGAGAAAAAUAAAGUAGACACUCGGAGGUAAAGAUAACUCGUGUAUUAACCAGAGCAAGAGAGUGAAACAUAUCAAUGCGCAUGGCUAAUUACCAAUCAGAAAUCAAUGCUAAGGGGGGGUGAUUCCACUUAAAGAAAUAGAUCCAUUCUAUAGACUACAGCCAGUGUAACAAGACUGUUUUUGUCAGGACUAUUAUGAGGUUUCAUAGGCAGUAUGUCCUCUUUUCUUCCAGCAGUGAAGUGGAUCACACAACAGCCACAGCUGGCACUCAGCAGUAUCGCUGCCACACUUCCAUUUGAUAUCCAAUAGCACAGUAUCACCUCCACCACCACGAGAACCACUGACCAUGACAAGUGACUUCUGCUCCAUCUCACCAUCAGCAGUGCAGCAUUGG
Molecule: long non-coding RNA, 409 nt
Organism: Ictalurus punctatus (channel catfish)
Lineage: Eukaryota; Metazoa; Chordata; Actinopteri; Siluriformes; Ictaluridae
Exons: 2
Source: RefSeq, a predicted model, not a curated record